UGGGGAAUAUUGGGCAAUGGGCGAAAGCCUGACCCAGCGACGCCGCGUGAGGGAAGAAGGUCUUCGGAUUGUAAACCUUAGUCAACAGGGAAGAAGAAAGUGACGGUACCUGUGGAGGAAGCCACGGCUAACUACGUGCCAGCAGCCGCGGUAAUACGUAGGUGGCGAGCGUUAUCCGGAUUUACUGGGUGUAAAGGGUGUGUAGGCGGGAUUGCAAGUCAGAUGUGAAACCUAUGGGCUUAACCCGUAGCCUGCAUUUGAAACUGUAGAUCUUGAGUGUCGGAGGGGCAAUCGGAAUUCCUAGUGUAGCGGUGAAAUGCGUAGAUAUUAGGAGGAACACCAGUGGCGAAGGCGGAUUGCUGGACGAUAACUGACGGUGAGGCGCGAAAGUGUGGGGAGC
This 400-nucleotide ribosomal RNA is filed under the name uncultured Oscillospiraceae bacterium. Its description in RNAcentral is "bacterial SSU rRNA". It matches the Rfam family "Bacterial small subunit ribosomal RNA", at positions 355 to 769 of the family's 1533-position model. Lineage: Bacteria; Bacillati; Bacillota; Clostridia; Eubacteriales; Oscillospiraceae. The record is from RNAcentral.